Molecule: ribosomal RNA, 253 nt
Filed under: uncultured bacterium
Lineage: Bacteria
Description: partial 16S ribosomal RNA
Rfam family: Bacterial small subunit ribosomal RNA
Source: RNAcentral
UACGAAGGACCCGAGCGUUAUCCGGAUUUAUUGGGUUUAAAGGGUGCGUAGGCGGGUUAUUAAGUCAGUGGUGAAAGCCUACAGCUUAACUGUAGAAUUGCCAUUGAUACUGAUAAUCUUGAGUAUGAUUGAGGUGGGCGGAAUGUGUCAUGUAGCGGUGAAAUGCUUAGAUAUGACACAGAACACCGAUUGCGAAGGCAGCUCACUAAGCCAUAACUGACGCUGAUGCACGAAAGCGUGGGGAGCAAACAGG